CCCCUCUCAGGGUCGCAUUUGGAGAGUUUCCAGUCCUCUUCCAGUCUCAGCUACAGGAGGGAGAGUCAAACAGAGACCUACCCAUUCCAUUCCUAGCUUGGGCAGUGGCUUGGCAGUGGAAGGCAUUCUGCUACAAGU
This is a small nucleolar RNA of Ornithorhynchus anatinus (platypus), 138 nucleotides long. The record is from RefSeq and is a predicted model, not a curated record. Lineage: Eukaryota; Metazoa; Chordata; Mammalia; Monotremata; Ornithorhynchidae.